UACGUAGGGUGCGAGCGUUGUCCGGAGUUACUGGGCGUAAAGAGCUCGUAGGUGGUUUGUCGCGUUGUUCGUGAAAACCGGGGGCUUAACCCUCGGCGUGCGGGCGAUACGGGCAGACUUGAGUACUGCAGGGGAGACUGGAAUUCCUGGUGUAGCGGUGGAAUGCGCAGAUAUCAGGAGGAACACCGGUGGCGAAGGCGGGUCUCUGGGCAGUAACUGACGCUGAGGAGCGAAAGCGUGGGGAGCGAACAGG
Molecule: ribosomal RNA, 253 nt
Filed under: uncultured bacterium
Lineage: Bacteria
Description: partial 16S ribosomal RNA
Rfam family: Bacterial small subunit ribosomal RNA
Source: RNAcentral